GUCCGUAAAGCCUUGUUCUUGAAUACAGUUGAUCCGGGCGGAUGCGGGCCAGCUGAAAUUUCCCAAUUUUUAGCAUCAUCUCUGCAAACUCCCCAGUGAACAACAACUUCCCCAGGUAGAUCAGUUUCUAAAUAAAGAAGAUUCUUGGCAGUCUUAGGACAUUUUGUAACUGAAACAGUGGCUGAGUUUUGAAUUACAACUUGUUUAGUAAUAGGCUGCUCUUCAUAGAAACCUUCUACAUGCCUAUUUUCCUGUUUUGUAUCUUUGGAUUCACUGCUGCUAUCUUGAUCUUUAGAAGGCAUUUCUUCUGAUUUAAGAAGCAUGUUAGGAAGGAAAGCCCCUGGCCAUAUAUUGAAGCCUCCAUUCACUCCAACUACACUGCCAUCAUUGAGAAUAUAGUCCACAAGAGGGACUUUAAAAUCUCUCCCUCUAUGCUGAUACCAAGCACCAGUUUCUUCAUCCUUCAAAACAAAGUUUACUGCUGCAAUU
Molecule: unclassified non-coding RNA, 489 nt
Filed under: Hevea brasiliensis (rubber tree)
Lineage: Eukaryota; Viridiplantae; Streptophyta; Magnoliopsida; Malpighiales; Euphorbiaceae
Source: RNAcentral